Salvelinus fontinalis (brook trout) is the source of this 3185-nucleotide long non-coding RNA. RefSeq lists it as uncharacterized. The transcript has 2 exons. Lineage: Eukaryota; Metazoa; Chordata; Actinopteri; Salmoniformes; Salmonidae. The record is from RefSeq and is a predicted model, not a curated record.
GCGCAGGGUUCCCAGACGCCAGCGCACUCCUUGCCCUGGAAACGGACCUGGCGACCCAGCAGUUGCAAGGAGAGAGAGAGUGCUGACUGGAAUGGUAAGCUGUCAAUGUUUGUCGUUUAUACAGGGUUUAAUAUGGUUGGAUUUGUAGAGUUCUAUAAAGCCGUCUUGAUACCCCUCUACCCUUCCCAUCAUAUUCUGCCUAGGAAAACACUUUUGUAUUGACAGUUGCUAUGAGAUUUUGAGUCCCAUAAUUAGAAUCCAUAGAAUGGUCCUUUGGAGGAAGGAUUUUUGGGAUAUAUUUGACAUUUGUAUCCUAAAGCGUAAUUAGUUGAAGUUUGUAUAUUUGUGACAUUUUGGCCUUACCCAGUACUCCUUUUAAAGACGCCAUGCUUCAGUUGUAGGUGCUACAAAGCAACAUUUAGUGUCAUAUACAACUUUACUGCUUGCUCUGUAUUUUGAUUAGUAUUUUAUAACACAUUUCUUGCAUUAAUUUGUGAAUAUUUACAAAUAUGAAUAUUGAAAGUAUACGUAUUUUUUUAUUAGGCUUUUACAUUUUUUUUUACAAACAUUGUCAAACAUGAUGUACUUUACAGGCAAUUCAAAGUUCUGUUAGCUCAAUACUUUAAAGUUAUGGCUUCUUUUAUAGAGACACUUUGGCAUAGUAAACAAUGUAACCAAUCACAGCCCUCCUUUUAAGUGUCAUUGCACAUCCUGCAAAUCAAGAGCAGAGGUGACUAUUUUGAAUCCAUUUUCACAUUCACUCUGUUGGUAAUGCUUAAAAAUGUGUUUUACUCUAAAAGUAGCAGAGAUUCCACUCUGUAUCUUUGAUAUGCCCAUAGUGUAUUAUGUUUGCCAAAUCAAAAGUGGGAUAUUUUCACUUCAUGCUGUUAUUUUUCUACAUUCCGAAAUGUAUGUAAGAAAUGUUAUUGAAAUCAAAAUACAUAUGACAGAGCAAGCAGUUUAGCUUCAUAUGACACCAUAUAUUGGCAUGUAGCACCUACAGAUAAAACAAUAUGGAGUCUUACAGGAGUCCUGGGUAAUGUCAAAUUCGAACUAUAGUUAGUUAUUUCUAAAUCAUGCUUUAAGACACUGUUAAAUGUGUAUAUAUAUAUAUAUAUAUAUAUAUAUAUAUAUAUAUAUAUAUAUAUAUAUAUAUAUAUAUAUAUAUAUAUAUAUUACUCAGCAAAAAAAGAAACGUCCUCUCACUGUCAACUGCUUUUUCAGCAAUCUUAACAUUUGUAUGAACAAUCUUAAUAUUUGUAUGAACAUAACAAGAUUCAACAACUGAGACAUAAACUGAACAAGUUCCACAGACAUGUGACUAACAGAAAUGGAAUAUUGUGUCCCUGAACAAAGGGGGGGGUCAAAAGUAACAGUCAGUAUCUGGUGUGGCCACUAGCUGCAUGAAGUACUGCAGUGCAUCUCCUCCUCAUGGACUGCACCAGAUUUGCUAGUUCUUUCUGUGAGAUUUUACCCCGCUCUUCCACCAAGGCACCUGCAAGUUCCUGGGACAGUUCUGGGGGGGAAUGGCCCUAGCCCUCACCCUCCGAUCCAACAGUUCCCAGACGUGCUCAAUGGGAUUGAGAUCCGGACUCUUCGCUGGCCCUGGCAGAACACUGGCAUUCAUGUCUUGCAGGAAAUCACGCACAGAAUGAGCAGUAUGGCUGGUGGCGUUGUUAUGCUGGAGGGUCAUGUCAGGAUGAGCCUGCAGGAAGGGUACCACCUGAGGGAGGAGGAUGUCUUCCCUGUAACGCACAGCGUUGAGAUCGCCUGCAAUGACAACAAGCUCAGUCCGAUGAUGCUGUGACACACCGCCCCAGACCAUGACGGACCCUCCACCUCCAAAUCGAUCCCGCUCCAGAGAACAGGCCUCAGUGUAACGCUCAUUCCAUCGAUAUUAAACGCAAAUUCCGACCAUCACCCCAUGUCACAGAUAAAACCGCGACUCGUCAGUGAAGAGCACUUUUUGCCAGUCCUGUCUGGUCCAGCGACGUUGGGUUUGUGCCCAUAGGCGACAUUGUUGCCGGUGAUGUCUGGUGAGGACCUGCCUUACAACAGGCCUACAAGCCCUCAGUCCAGCCUCUCUCAGCCUAUUGCGGACAGUCUGAGCACUGAUGGAGGGAUUGUGCGUUCCUGGUGUAACUUAGGCAGUUGUUGUUGCCAUCCUGUACCUUUCCCGCUGGUGUGAUGUUUGGAUGUACCGAUCCUGUGCAGGUGUUGUUACACGUGAUCUGCCACUGCAAGGAUGAUCAGCUGUCCAUCCUGUUUCCCUGUAGCGCUGUCUUAGGCGUCUCACAGUACGGACAUUGCAAUUUAUUGCCCUGGCCACAUCUGCAGUCCUCAUGCCUCCUUCACCAUGCCUAAGGCACGUUCACGCAGUUGAGCAGGGACCCUGGAUAUCUUUCUUUUGGUGUUUUUCAGAGUCAGUAGAAAGGCCUCUUCAGUGUCCUAUGUUUUCAUAACUGUGACCUUAAUUGCCUACCAUCUGUAAGCUGGUAGUGUCUUAACGACCGUUCCACAGGUGCAUGUUCAUUCAUUGUUUAUGGUUCAUUGAACAAGCAUGGGAAACAGUGUUAACUUCACAAAUCUUCAUUAGAAAGUGUUUAUUUGGAUUUUUACGAAUUAUCUUUGAAAGACAGGGUCCUGAAAAAGGGCAGUUUAUUUUUUUGCUGAGUUAUUUAUAUAUAUAUCUCAAUCAACAAUCCUUCCUAUAAUGGGCCCUUCUAUGGAUUAAAUUGAAUGCAAAUUAAAAGUUUUCAAGUUUUGUGUGGAUUCACCCAUAAAUGUCUUCUACAGUUUGACUUGUAGCCUACUUAGUGACUUUCCUGUCUUCUGUUCAACGACAAACACUUUAUCGAUAUAGGCAACUAAAACACUAAAAGCACAGUUGCUUGCAGCUUCCUCUCGAGUCACUGGUAUGGAUCUUCUGGGAUAUAUUGUGUGUGUGGAGGGGAAGUGAGGCAACUGGAACCUGUCUCUGGUCUGCAGAACCUUCAAUACAAUGCGGACAAAUUACAUUUUCAGGAAGUACUCCACAGGGAAGAGAUCAGAUCCUGAACCCCAGUAGUUACUGAAAGGAGAAGCCAGUACAUUGUGCUUACAGGUUACUGUGAAGGACAACAUAAACCAUUAUAUGCUUGCUGCUCUUCUUACACCUCUAUUACUAAUAAAACGUUUAUUUACAA